GGGGAUUUAGCUCAGUGGUAGAGCACUUGCCUUGCAUGCACAAGGCCCUGGGUUCGGUCCUCAGCUCCG
Molecule: transfer RNA, 69 nt
Filed under: Rattus norvegicus (Norway rat)
Lineage: Eukaryota; Metazoa; Chordata; Mammalia; Rodentia; Muridae
Rfam family: tRNA
About the family: Transfer RNA (tRNA) molecules are approximately 80 nucleotides in length. Their secondary structure includes four short double-helical elements and three loops (D, anti-codon, and T loops).
Source: Rfam by way of RNAcentral